CUGCCCAGUGGCAUAGUCUAAACGGCCGCGGUAUCCUGACCGUGCAAAGGUAGCAUAAUCACUUGCCCAUUAAUUGUGGGCUAGAAUGAAUGGAUAAAUGAAAUAAAAUCUGUCUCAACUAAUAAUUUAUAAAUUAAAAUCUAAUUGAAGAUUAUUAGAUGUAAUCGAAGGACAAGAAGACCCUAUAGAGCUUUCUAUAAUGUAUUAUUAUAUACAUACAGAUUGGUUGGGGCGACCAAGGACUUAUUAAUCAUCCUUAUUGAGAAGAUAUAUAUAUCUUAGAAAAGAUCCUUUAUAAAGAUCAAAAGCAUAGAGUUACCUUAGGGAUAACAGGCUAAUUUUAUUAGAGAGUUCUUAUUUAUAAUAAAGUUUGGCACCUCGAUGUUGGCUUAAGAAUUCAUUAUGGCGCAGAAGCCAUAUAAGAUGGUUUGUUCAACCAGUAAGUUCUU
RNAcentral lists this ribosomal RNA (449 nucleotides) under Eudrilidae sp. 1073_GH4. RNAcentral's name for it is "partial 16S ribosomal RNA". It matches the Rfam family "Bacterial large subunit ribosomal RNA", at positions 1859 to 2597 of the family's 2925-position model. Lineage: Eukaryota; Metazoa; Annelida; Clitellata; Crassiclitellata; Eudrilidae. The record is from RNAcentral.